CAGUAGCCGCGGUAAUACGUAGGUGGCAAGCGUUGUCCGGAAUUAUUGGGCGUAAAGCGCGCGCAGGUGGUUUAAUAAGUCUGAUGUGAAAGCCCACGGCUCAACCGUGGAGGGUCAUUGGAAACUGUUAAACUUGAGUGCAGGAGAGAAAAGUGGAAUUCCUAGUGUAGCGGUGAAAUGCGUAGAGAUUAGGAGGAACACCAGUGGCGAAGGCGGCUUUUUGGCCUGUAACUGACACUGAGGCGCGAAAGCGUGGGGAGCAAACAGGAUUAGAUACCCCGGUAGUCCCUGUCUCUUAUAU
RNAcentral lists this ribosomal RNA (301 nucleotides) under uncultured bacterium. RNAcentral's name for it is "partial 16S ribosomal RNA". It matches the Rfam family "Bacterial small subunit ribosomal RNA", at positions 509 to 809 of the family's 1533-position model. The record is from RNAcentral.